GAUGAAGAACGUAGUGAAAUGCGAUAAGUAAUGUGAAUUGCAGAAUUCAGUGAAUCAUCGAAUCCUUGAACGCACAUUGCGCCCCCUGGUAUUCCGGGGGGCAUGCCUGUCCGAGCGUCAUUACAACCCUCAAGCUCAGCUUGGUGUUGGGCCCCGCCGCCCCGGCGGGCCCUAAAGUCAGUGGCGGUGCCGUCCGGCUCCGAGCGUAGUAAUUCUUCUCGCUCUGGAGGUCCGGUCGUGUGCUCGCCAGCAACCCCCAAUUUUUUUCAGGUUGACCUCGGAUCAGGUAGGGAUACCCGCUGAACUUAAGCAUAUCAAUAAGCGGAGGA
RNAcentral lists this unclassified non-coding RNA (329 nucleotides) under soil metagenome. RNAcentral's name for it is "partial contains 5.8S ribosomal RNA, internal transcribed spacer 2, and large subunit ribosomal RNA". The stretch from base 1 to 120 matches the Rfam family "5.8S ribosomal RNA", at positions 35 to 154 of the family's 154-position model. The record is from RNAcentral.